Molecule: unclassified non-coding RNA, 270 nt
Organism: Colobus angolensis palliatus
Lineage: Eukaryota; Metazoa; Chordata; Mammalia; Primates; Cercopithecidae
Rfam family: Metazoan signal recognition particle RNA
About the family: The signal recognition particle (SRP) is a universally conserved ribonucleoprotein. It is involved in the co-translational targeting of proteins to membranes.
Source: Ensembl
GCUGGGUGCAGUGGGCGGUGCCUGUUGUCCCAGUUACUUGGAAAGCUGCGGCAGGAGUUCUGGACUGUAGUGCGCUAUGCCGUUUGGGUGUCCGCAUUGAGUUCAGCAUCAAUAUGGUGACCUCCCGGGAGCAAGGGACCACCAGGUGUGUCUCAGGAGGACGGGUGAACGAUCCAGGUCAGAAACAACAGGUCAAAUCUCCCAUGCCAAUCAGUAGUGGGAUUGUGCCUGUGUACUCCAGCCUGGGCAACAUAGUGAGACCCUGUCUCU